UAUGCUGCCAAAUAAGAAGAACAAGAAGAGUAACAGAUGAAAGAGGAAAAGAAGGAAGGAGGAGGAAGAAGAGAAGAAAGAAAAGAAGAAGAGAAAGAAAGGGCAGGAAGGAAAAGGAGGAGAAAUAGUAAUGCAGAAGUAAUGCAGUAACAGCAAUGCAGAAGGACUAUAAACACGACUCCAGGAAAAUGCCAUGUGAACUUGUGUGACUUUAAAAAUGUGAAGACAUGCAAGAUCCCAAAAUUAAAGACCUUAAAGAUUCUUUGUACCCGUGAUUCUGAAAAGCUUUGGAAGGAAUAUCCAUUUUGGAGAUCAACUCAACCUUUACCAUCCCAGGGAGUCAAGGAUGUUGGCUGAGAAUAUGGUAAGUGGUCUGAGUCUCCUGUCCUUAUUACACAGCUGCAGGCUGCAUCAUAUAUCUGCAGUGGUAACAGAUUUCUCAAAAGAUGAAUAGAAUCUAAUGGAGUAUCUUUUAUUUAUCGGCACUGAAAACUACAUAGCAGUAUGGCAGAGAUCCAGGACACAUGCUCCUCUCCCUGUGGAAAGAUGAGUGUUUCAGAAACUGAUCUCCAAGGACAAAGGUCUAGACAGAGUCACUUAUUCAUAGCAGAAAGAGGAGUGUGUUUUUUAAUUUCUAUUCAAACAAGAGAACAUUACAGAAAGAUGUAUUCUAUUGGUUUUUGCUUUCAACAAACAGCUAGCACUAUUUAUAAAAUUUUCAUCUAAAAAAGUUUCACCUAAAAUCCUUUCAAAGUAUUCAGUAUAAAUUAUUCAGUAUGAGAAUGUCAUGGAGCUUUUGAACAUUUAUAAAAUAUUUCAAUUUAUUUUUUUUCUAUAGACUUAAAUAAGUCAUUAGGAAAUUUACAAUAUAUGAAUUAGAUAUUCUGAUUGACCUAACAAAACUUAAUGAAGGUAAAGGCUACUGUGGGAAUCCUACUAAGGAGUGGAUGGAAUUUAAAAUGUUUACAUAACAGGAGGCCUUUCAUUGGUAAAUAAAAUAGAGAUAACAUAUCUCACUUUUUUCCUCUUUCACUUUAUCUGUUGUUUUAUCUUUUUCUUUCAUUUUUCAUGAUGACUGUCUUACUCACUUUCCUUGUCACUGGGACACAACAAGGUAAGAGAGGAAAAGUUUGUUUUGGGCUCCUGCUUUACAGUAGUUCUAGUCCACUGGCUGGUUCCAGGGCAGGGAGCGUGGCAGUGGAGCACGGCUGAGGAGAUUUGUUCCUGGAAUGGCAAUUGAGAAACAGCAAGCCAUCAAGGGAGGAGAGAAGAAGAAUAAACCCUUCCAGUUCCUGCCCCCAGAGACCCAUUUCCUCCAGCCAGGCUUCACCUCCAACCUCACAUUUAACUCUAAACUCCUCAAUUGACUAAUCCACUGAUGAGAAUCAUUUCCACCCAGAUUACUCAGUCACUUCGGAGAAGUCACACCUGUGAGUACAGGUGGUCUGGGGGAGAACAUAACAAUGUCCUUUUAUGUAUCAAGAAGGGAAAAGCAUGAUUAUUUUCCUUUCUAAAAUGUUGGUCAUUUGCUAAAGCACUAAUAGGCAAUACUGCCAACGUCUCAAAUGUUAUGGGCUGAAUUAUAAACUUCAACUAUAUGUCGAAGUACUAAACCUCAUUAUCUCAGAAAGUAUCUGCAUUUGGCUGUGAAAUUUUUAAAAAGGAAAUUAAAGUUACACAAGUCAGUUGAAUGGGUUGUAAUCCAAUAUGACUGAUAUCUGCAUAAGAAGAUGAGAAUAUCUGAGAUGCAUACAGAGAAAAUACAAUAAAAAGACAGCCUACCACAAACC
Molecule: long non-coding RNA, 1790 nt
Organism: Cavia porcellus (domestic guinea pig)
Lineage: Eukaryota; Metazoa; Chordata; Mammalia; Rodentia; Caviidae
Exons: 3
Source: RefSeq, a predicted model, not a curated record